GUGUGCGAGAGCGCACAUCGACAAAAAAGCAGAGCAGUCACCAUGGAAGCUCCAAAUUACGGCCGCACAGGACUGCUGACCUCCCGUCUCGGUGGUCUGCCCGUCACGCGCCCCCGCCUGCUGCUGCCAGGGAGCUCGGCGGCGCCCCGCUCGGUCAAGUGGUAUCCUUCUCUCCUCACCAUACCACAGCAACUACUUGAUGCGCUGCGCCGCGAAGACGACACCGAAGCUGCGGAUAGUGACGUGCCCGGGACAACGACGUCGUUUUCCUCGGACCCCACACUGAUCACAUACUUGCGCGUAGCCACCAUUGCCGAGUGCCUUGUGCAGUGGUGGCGCCGUUGGGCGGUAGCAGCGGCACCGAAAAGGACUACUGAAGCAGUUGCCCUCACAGGCCCAUCGCGCGAGCAGCUCUCUGCCCUCUACACAGGGAUACUGCAGUGGCAUCGAGACGAGCUCGUCAGCGGUAAAACGGUACCAUCUUCGGCGCUGGCGCACGGCUCGUCGUCUUCGAGUACCUUCUUCAUUCCCGCCUACAAGCUGCUGGUCAUGAAGCACGACAGAAAGGUGGCGGAGUACGCCAACAUCACCUGGCGCUCGGUGUGGCUGCUGGGAAAGGAUCCAGAUGUGAAUGAUGUGCCGCUCGAACACCCCUCUUGCUCUGGCCAGCACGCCUCAAUGGAGAUGCGGUUCGUCUUGGCGGACGAGGCUGCUUUGGACGCCUACGUAACGGAAGGGGUGAAGGCAUUGUCGCCUGACGCACCGAUGCUGUCGUCACCGGGAGCGGAUGUGCCUCCGUUUGCACAGAGCACGCAGGCUCUGCGAUCCUUGUGCACUGGCAUGUGGGCAAUGCUGGAGGAGGCCCUGACCUCUGCCGGUGGUGACGCGGCUGCGGUAUGGACAGCCGAGCUGCAGCUGAUCGAUCUGGGGUCCACUAACCACACAAAGCUGAAUGGCGAGGCGGUGCCGGCAAUGGAGGCGACGACGGUGAUUGACUCGGAUGUGUUGGAGUUUGGCUGCUCAACGCGCAAGUACGUGGUGAUGCGCAAUGCGUAGCUGCUGCGGCCAUCUCGCUGGAUGGGGCUCGACGCGUGGGCUGUGUGAGGCGUUGAGGCCGAAUAAUUUGUGACGCUUCAGCUCUCCAUUGACACUGACGGAAAGCACCGAUAGCAUCGACCGCAACAAUG
RNAcentral lists this unclassified non-coding RNA (1187 nucleotides) under Leishmania donovani. Its description in RNAcentral is "gene:LdHU3.29.0410(CDS-product:hypothetical_prote in_conserved)". Lineage: Eukaryota; Euglenozoa; Kinetoplastea; Trypanosomatida; Trypanosomatidae. The record is from RNAcentral.